Molecule: ribosomal RNA, 468 nt
Filed under: uncultured bacterium
Lineage: Bacteria
Description: partial 16S ribosomal RNA
Rfam family: Bacterial small subunit ribosomal RNA
Source: RNAcentral
GACGAACGCUGGCGGCGUGCUUAACACAUGCAAGUCGAACGGAAAGGCCCUGCUUUUGUGGGGUGCUCGAGUGGCGAACGGGUGAGUAACACGUGAGUAACCUGCCCUUGACUUUGGGAUAACUUCAGGAAACUGGGGCUAAUACCGGAUAGGAGCUCCUGCUGCAUGGUGGGGGUUGGAAAGUUUCGGCGGUUGGGGAUGGACUCGCGGCUUAUCAGCUUGUUGGUGGGGGAGUGGCUUACCAAGGCUUUGGCGGGUAGCCGGCCUGGGAGGGUGACCGGCCACAUUGGGACUGAGAUACGGCCCAGACUCCUACGGGAGGCAGCAGUGGGGAAUAUUGCACAAUGGGCGGAAGCCUGAUGCAGCAACGCCGCGUGCGGGAUGACGGCCUUCGGGUUGUAAACCGCUUUCGCCUGUGACGAAGCGUGAGUGACGGUAAUGGGUAAAGAAGCACCGGCUAACUACGUG